AUGCAGUCGAGCGGCAGCACAGAGUAGAGUUUACUUCACUGAGGUGGCGAGCGGCGGACGGGUGAGUAAUGCCUAGGGAUCUGCCCAGUCGAGGGGGAUAACAGUUGGAAACGACUGCUAAUACCGCAUACGCCCUACGGGGGAAAGAGGGGGACCUUCGGGCCUCUCGCGAUUGGAUGAACCUAGGUGGGAUUAGCUAGUUGGUGAGGUAAUGGCUCACCAAGGCGACGAUCCCUAGCUGUUCUGAGAGGAUGAUCAGCCACACUGGGACUGAGACACGGCCCAGACUCCUACGGGAGGCAGCAGUGGGGAAUAUUGCACAAUGGGGGAAACCCUGAUGCAGCCAUGCCGCGUGUGUGAAGAAGGCCUUCGGGUUGUAAAGCACUUUCAGUAGGGAGGAAAGGGUGAGUCUUAAUACGGCUCAUCUGUGACGUUACCUACAGAAGAAGGACCGGCUAACUCCGUGCCAGCAGCCGCGGUAAUACGGAGGGUCCGAGCGUUAAUCGGAAUUACUGGGCGUAAAGCGUGCGCAGGCGGUUUGUUAAGCGAGAUGUGAAAGCCCUGGGCUCAACCUAGGAAUAGCAUUUCGAACUGGCGAACUAGAGUCUUGUAGAGGGGGGUAGAAUUCCAGGUGUAGCGGUGAAAUGCGUAGAGAUCUGGAGGAAUACCGGUGGCGAAGG
RNAcentral lists this ribosomal RNA (680 nucleotides) under Shewanella xiamenensis. RNAcentral describes it as "bacterial SSU rRNA". It matches the Rfam family "Bacterial small subunit ribosomal RNA", at positions 55 to 721 of the family's 1533-position model. Lineage: Bacteria; Pseudomonadati; Pseudomonadota; Gammaproteobacteria; Alteromonadales; Shewanellaceae. The record is from RNAcentral.